This is a long non-coding RNA of Bos taurus (domestic cattle), 640 nucleotides long. The record is from Ensembl. NCBI's taxonomy places the organism in Eukaryota, Metazoa, Chordata, Mammalia, Artiodactyla, Bovidae.
ACCUCAGUGCGGCUGGUUUACAGGACCUCCCUAAAUAUCAAGCAAGUGUUUAUCAUAAACCAAGCACCAGCCAAUGGUAGACAUCCCUGCAAUAUAAGCAAGCCCCUUCUCCUGAUGGGAAUCACCAGAGAUAGUCUAGAAUCUGAAGAUACUGAGGACCUCAAGAGCCACUGGGUGGAGGCUGUGGGGCCAGAGGAGCUCCCAAACUAUAGAGGAAAAACAGCCAAGGAGCGUCAGACAUGCAGCUACAUUCACUAUUGUCCACUACUCUCUAUAUCCUGGAAUGCAGAUAUUGGCUCGCCCUCUCACUUCCUGUCUCACCCACCUUCUGAAACCUGAACACUCCAAACAAGCCAAACCCCUGGUGAAAGUGAAGUCGCUUGGUUGUGUCCGACUCUUUGCGACCCCAUGGAACCCACCAGGCUCCUCCAUCCGUAGGAUGUUCCAGGCAAGAAUACUGGAGUGAGUUGCCAUUUCCUUCUCCAGGGGAUCCUCCCAACCCAGGGAUCAAACCCAGGUUUCCCAGAUUGCAGGCAGACUUACAAGCUGAGCCACCAGGGAAUCCCCAGACCCCUGGUGGGGAAAUUGAAAAAAAUGAGAUCUUCCAGCCCCCAAAUCCUCUCCACAAAAAUAGUCAUGA